RNAcentral lists this long non-coding RNA (598 nucleotides) under Daucus carota (carrot). RNAcentral's name for it is "long non-coding RNA (DCAR_LNC006204)". Lineage: Eukaryota; Viridiplantae; Streptophyta; Magnoliopsida; Apiales; Apiaceae. The record is from RNAcentral.
UACCCAGAGCCUCAGACCUAGUUUCUCGUACACAAAACACAAUACCUAAUCCACAGCCGCCGCUCCGCCUCCGGCCCUCCGUGACUCCGCCUCCGGCCCUCCGCGACUCCGCCUCUCCCUCAGGCCUUAUCCUGCAGCCGCCGACUUCAAGAAUCAAAGAUUCAAAGGUACCCAAUCUAAUUCGUAUCUAUAUUUUCUAAUAUUCAAAUAAUCUAAUCCGUAUCUAUAUCUGAUUACCUUCUUAAAUCUGUUAAUUUGAUACCUAAUAUGUUCGAUUCUUCUUCAGUCUCAACCCUAAUUACACGCUCCAGUCUCUCCCCGGUCAGUACUCAGCAGUCACUUGCAGCCCUGUUGACUUCAAGAAUCAAAUCAAAGAUUCAAAGGUAUUAACUAAUUUGUAUCUAAUAUUCUAAUCCGUAUCUAAUCGACUACUCUAUAUCUUCUGAUUUGCCUACUUUGUGUUUAAAUUUCAUACCCAAUCUGUUAGAUUCAACUUUGUGGUUAAUAGCCUUGUAAUUUAACAAUCACUUGUUGCUGCAGUUGGAGCUAUGUCACAAUCUCAACCAUUGCAACCGGAGGUAGAGAUGAAGGAUUCCAA